AAAUUGAAGAGUUUGAUCAUGGCUCAGAUUGAACGCUGGCGGCAGGCCUAACACAUGCAAGUCGAACGGUAACAGGAAGCAGCUUGCUGCUUUGCUGACGAGUGGCGGACGGGUGAGUAAUGUCUGGGAAACUGCCUGAUGGAGGGGGAUAACUACUGGAAACGGUGGCUAAUACCGCAUAACGUCGCAAGACCAAAGAGGGGGACCUUCGGGCCUCUUGCCAUCAGAUGUGCCCAGAUGGGAUUAGCUUGUUGGUGAGGUAACGGCUCACCAAGGCGACGAUCCCUAGCUGGUCUGAGAGGAUGACUAGCCACACUGGAACUGAGACACGGUCCAGACUCCUACGGGAGGCAGCAGUGGGGAAUAUUGCACAAUGGGCGCAAGCCUGAUGCAGCCAUGCCGCGUGUAUGAAGAAGGCCUUCGGGUUGUAAAGUA
This 435-nucleotide ribosomal RNA is filed under the name Salmonella enterica subsp. enterica serovar Kentucky. RNAcentral describes it as "bacterial SSU rRNA". It matches the Rfam family "Bacterial small subunit ribosomal RNA", at positions 1 to 432 of the family's 1533-position model. Lineage: Bacteria; Pseudomonadati; Pseudomonadota; Gammaproteobacteria; Enterobacterales; Enterobacteriaceae. The record is from RNAcentral.